Molecule: long non-coding RNA, 995 nt
Organism: Helianthus annuus (common sunflower)
Lineage: Eukaryota; Viridiplantae; Streptophyta; Magnoliopsida; Asterales; Asteraceae
Exons: 2
Source: RefSeq, a predicted model, not a curated record
CAAAUAGCACCCUUUAUUUUGUGCAAAACACUACAUUUAUACGUUUGAUUUUACUUCUAGUUAGUUUCUUUUAUCAUCUCAAAAUGAAAGUACAAGUCAUGUCUCCGGGUCCAAUUCUUUGUAUCCAACAGUCAGCAUACAAAGAUUGAUGAAUGAGGCAACUGGACUUGUUUGGCUGAACCUUUCCAUGUAUUGUGAGUGUCGAGCUCAAUGGUCAAGUGAUAUCUGUUCUUGCUUUGGCUAUUAAGUUGGUAACUUAUCAGAGUUAUUGUUUAUUUUUGCUCUCAUGAGGAUUAACGUGCCCAAAAAUAGGUCAAAACAGAAUUUCCAAGGGGCGGCUUUCCUUGUGUAAAGAUCCAACCCACCUAUUGAUGACAACGUAACAACCUAACUAACCUAAAUAGCUAAGGUAAGUAGGACAUUGUAUCCAUAUGGAACAUAUGGUGAGUAUUAUAGUCUCGUUUGAUAAAUAAGAAAAUGCAAAAAGGUGUAUUGAAGAUUGAAUUAAACUAAAGCUAAAAUGAAACUAUGAAGCAAGCAACAAAACAUAGUUAGUGUGAUAACUUUGUUUAAUCGGCUACAUAGACAUAACUUAAUUAUCUUGAUCUUAGCACUCACGUAGAGCAUUGUGAUUCAUGUGCUUAUACACCAAAAGUUUGAUCCUUAUGCAUGAUUGGGUGACCCACUAUAAACCGUACGUUGAAUCAAUAUUGCGGAAUUAAUCACACUAGAAUGAAUACUAAUCACAUACAUAUGACUAACAUUCGUUUGAAUGUUUAAGUUGAAUUGUAACCUGUUAACUUGAUAUGUGACAUCUAUAUUUGAAUACUUAAUAUCCAUAACCAAUAUAAUUAAAUAACCUUUGGAUACGAAUUAGAGUAGAUUCUACUGGUAUUCAACAUUUUGUAAUUAGUUAUAAAUGAUUUGUUCUCAGUAUCGUUUGUUCCCUUUGCCACUUAUUUCUUUACUUUUAUUUAUCGGUCCUCUUUCGUCCA